Long non-coding RNA from Zingiber officinale, 763 nucleotides. RefSeq lists it as uncharacterized. The transcript has 2 exons. The record is from RefSeq and is a predicted model, not a curated record. Lineage: Eukaryota; Viridiplantae; Streptophyta; Magnoliopsida; Zingiberales; Zingiberaceae.
GAAAGAAAUUUUGACAAAAAACCGUUGAAGGCGAGGUUCGAACCUACGACCUCGGGUCGGACUGACCCAACCGAACCUGGCCCGACCAGUUGAGCUACGCUCGUUCUGUUAACUAGGUAUGGAGAGAAAAAUAUUUAAAGUAAAGUUAUAUGGAAACCCUAGAGAUAAUAAGUGGGAAAAACUUAAGUGAUUUUUGGGAAAAUGAUCUUUUUCUCCCGAAAUCCUUUCUCUCCUCACCUCUCUCGCGCGACAGCGGCGGCUCGGGCGGAAAACACCUCGAGGCGACGGCGCUAGGGUUCCUCUCCAGUGCCGGCGAAAGGAUUCUUCCGGUCGGCCUUCACCCGUACGUGGUCACCGUGACGAAGGGAGCUCGGGAACUCAAGGGAGCCGCCGAGAUCUUCAAGCUUCACCCGAAACCCUAGAAUUUUGCUCUUCUCCGGUUGUAAGUCCAAGAGCAGUGAGAUAAAGAAAAAGCUAAAGUAUGAAAGGAAGGCGACAAGGUGGUGGUGAUGAAGGUGUGUGAUGACUGGACUAUGGAGAGAUCAUGAGUUUGCUAAGGAAACUGUCAAGACUCCUUCUUUGGAGUUUUCUUUCAGUUAUUAAAUUGAUAGAGAUUGUUUUAGUAGUUUCCCUUUGUCUAUGUUAAGUUCAUUUCGCAUUGUAGUUGAGUUAUUUCCUAUUGUUGGAGUUCUUUUGUUUACUAUUGCUAGGAUAGUUUAUUUUUAGUUAUAUAUAAACUGCGUGGUGAUAUUAUUGCUUUGUA